GUCCCAUCACGAGCGGCUGAGAGACCUGGCUCGACGACGCCGCAGCAACCCCCCUCCCACGAGGGUGCGGGUGCUCAUGCCAGGACCGAUGGAGC
This 95-nucleotide non-coding RNA is filed under the name Actinotalea bogoriensis. RNAcentral describes it as "Cellulomonas bogoriensis SAM-I sequence". It matches the Rfam family "SAM riboswitch aptamer (S box leader)". Rfam says of the family: The SAM riboswitch is found upstream of a number of genes which code for proteins involved in methionine or cysteine biosynthesis in Gram-positive bacteria. The SAM riboswitch acts at the level of transcription termination control. The predicted structure consists of a complex stem-loop region followed by a single stem loop terminator region. RNAcentral also lists the same sequence under 1 other name. The record is from RNAcentral. Lineage: Bacteria; Bacillati; Actinomycetota; Actinomycetes; Micrococcales; Cellulomonadaceae.